RNAcentral lists this ribosomal RNA (254 nucleotides) under uncultured bacterium. RNAcentral describes it as "partial 16S ribosomal RNA". It matches the Rfam family "Bacterial small subunit ribosomal RNA", at positions 524 to 776 of the family's 1533-position model. The record is from RNAcentral.
UACGUAGGGUGCGAGCGUUGUCCGGAAUUAUUGGGCGUAAAGAGCUCGUAGGCGGUUUGUUGCGUCGGCUGUGAAAACCUGCGGCUUAACUGUGGGCUUGCAGGCGAUACGGGCAGACUUGAGUGUUUCAGGGGAGACUGGAAUUCCUGGUGUAGCGGUGAAAUGCGCAGAUAAUCAGGAGGAACACCGGUGGCGAAGGCGGGUCUCUGGGCAGUAACUGACGCUGAGGAGCGAAAGCGUGGGGAGCGAACAGG